Molecule: long non-coding RNA, 240 nt
Filed under: Elaeis guineensis (African oil palm)
Lineage: Eukaryota; Viridiplantae; Streptophyta; Magnoliopsida; Arecales; Arecaceae
Description: long non-coding RNA (EGUI_LNC015998)
Source: RNAcentral
CCAUAACUAUUCCAUGAUUGUAUGAAUAGCUGACAAAUUAUUUAGAAAUGAUCUGACAAAUUAUUUAGAAAUGAUAAGUACAUCAUAAAUGUCACUUAAAAAUAUUUAAUAUCAUCUAACAUGUAAUAUGUUGACAUUUAUGGAAUGAGGUCUUUAUCUUUCACAAGGUAAAAUUUAAAUAAAAUCAAAGUUAAAAGGAGUAGUUCAAGAUUAAAAUUUUCUACUCUAAAGGAAGAAGUC